Non-coding RNA from Sus scrofa (pig), 886 nucleotides. The record is from RefSeq and is a predicted model, not a curated record. NCBI's taxonomy places the organism in Eukaryota, Metazoa, Chordata, Mammalia, Artiodactyla, Suidae.
GGGGCUGGGCACCCCUUCCUCCUCCCUCCAGGGCAGGCGCCGGGGACGGGAGGGUCUUUCAAAGCUGGGGGAGGCUCCUAGUACGGGGUCAGGUCCGCCUCCUUCCCUCCCCCGUCCUGGAGCAACCUUGGGAUUUUCUACCCCGAGUGAGGCCACGGCUGAAUCACCCUGGGGGCUUUUGGGGGGACAUUCCUGCAGUAGGAAGGCCUACUCCCCGAAGGCCUGUAGGUGGGGGCUCUUCCCAGUGAGGGGCCCCGGGGCUCUGCCCGGAUAACUGGUCUCUGGGGCCCUGGGGCGGGGGAAGGAAAGGGUCUCCUUGGGAUGGGCUCCCCUGUUACCCCUCCCGAAAACAUCUCAACAGCCGUUAAUUCCCACACUGCACCUACUCUGGCUGCCUACGCCCUACGCCCCAGUCCCAAAGCCGUGUGUAAUACAUGUAUGCAUCUGCAUCAUAGGUGUACAAGUGUGUUUCGGCCCAUGUGCUUGCGUGUUGUGUGUUCAUGGCUUGAACAUGCGUAUACAGCUCGCUCUUUUUUACACCCAAGGGAGGCACUUGCAGAGGCCAGACCCAGCAACAUGCACGUGGUUGCGCUGAACGAAAGGAAGCUCAAGGUGCUGAAUGAUCACAGAGCCAGCUGGGUCCACUGAAGAGGAAUCCCCGAGGGCAACUUACGCAUGUUCAUUCCAGCCUUGGCUGAAGCCUAAGAAUCUCAGGCAGCUAGUUCAUCAUGGCUGACUCGGCCCUGCCAUUUCCCACAAGAAGAGCAGGUGAACAGGAUCCUCUGGCUCACAGCCCGUGCUCAGCAGCAAUCCCACGCUACCCUCUUAGGCUUCCAGCUCCCUGUCUGACGCCCAGCAGGCUCGCUCAGAGGGACUCACCACAGGU